UACAGAGGUGGCAAGCGUUGUUCGGAAUUACUGGGCGUAAAGGGCGCGUAGGCGGUGCUCUAAGUCGGAUGUGAAAACUCUGGGCUCAACCCAGAGCCUGCAUCCGAAACUGGAGUGCUAGAGUUCUGGAGGGGGUAGCGGAAUUCCUGGUGUAGCGGUGAAAUGCGUAGAUAUCAGGAGGAACACCGGUGGCGAAGGCGGCGACCUGGGUGGAUACUGACGCUGAGGUGCGAAAGCGUGGGGAGCAAACAGG
This 253-nucleotide ribosomal RNA is filed under the name uncultured bacterium. RNAcentral's name for it is "partial 16S ribosomal RNA". It matches the Rfam family "Bacterial small subunit ribosomal RNA", at positions 524 to 776 of the family's 1533-position model. The record is from RNAcentral.